This 117-nucleotide ribosomal RNA is filed under the name Sinocyclocheilus grahami. Lineage: Eukaryota; Metazoa; Chordata; Actinopteri; Cypriniformes; Cyprinidae. The record is from RNAcentral.
UGCCAUGGCCAUAUCACCCUGCAGCCCAAGACUGGUUGCCCACUGAAGCUAAGCAGGGUUGAGCCUGGUCAGUACCUGGAUGGGAGACCUCCUGGGAAAACUAGGUUGCUGUAGGAA